Molecule: signal recognition particle RNA, 268 nt
Filed under: Meriones unguiculatus (Mongolian gerbil)
Lineage: Eukaryota; Metazoa; Chordata; Mammalia; Rodentia; Muridae
Description: Metazoan signal recognition particle RNA (ENSMUGG00000006099.1)
Rfam family: Metazoan signal recognition particle RNA
About the family: The signal recognition particle (SRP) is a universally conserved ribonucleoprotein. It is involved in the co-translational targeting of proteins to membranes. The eukaryotic SRP consists of a 300-nucleotide 7S RNA and six proteins: SRPs 72, 68, 54, 19, 14, and 9.
Source: RNAcentral
GCCAGAUUUGAGCUACUCCAGAGGCUGAGACAGGAGGAUCACUUGAGUCCAGGAGUUCUGGGCUGUAGUGUGCUAUGCCGAUCAGGUGUCCGCAUCAAUACGGUGACCUCCGGGGAGCGGGGGACUACCAGGUUGCCUAAGAAGGGGUGAACCGGCCUAGGUACGAAACAGAGCAGGUCAAAAACUCCCGUGCUGAUCAGUAGUGUGAUCGCGCCUGUGAAUAGCCGCCUGCACUCCAGCCUGGGCAACAUAGCGAGACCCCGACUCU